GGCACUUAUAUUUUUUUGAUUAAUAAGUGAUCAUUUUAAAGAAUAAAAAGAGUCACCACUUGUAAGGUUUCAGUGUACUCUUCCCUUCCAACUAGAAGUUGGGAAAAUGAACUUCUUGCAUCUUUAGCUACUGGAGUGCUGCGAGAAAUUGGACAGCGAUGCAACUCAAAGGUUGAGCUCAGGCCUGUGGUGAGCACCAGUGAGGAAUUGCAAUUUUCAGUUGAGGUCUUCUUUAUCGGUGAGAGAGUUGGUGUUGGGAUGGGUAAGACUAGGAAGGAUGCUCAGCAACAGGCAGCUGAGAAUGCACUUCGGAACAUGGCUGGUAAUUACGUCUCAUACAUUACAUCUCACCCUCUAGCAGUGGAUAAAGACUUUGAUAAGAUUUCGGUGGAAAAUGAAAAUGGGUUCUUGUGGGACACUGUCAAUCACGUGGAUGAACCUUCAGUCGACGAUAGAUUACCUCAAGUAAAUGUUUCAGAGGUGGGAGUUAAUGGUGAUGCUUCUCAUGACCGAUCACUUAAUUCUUUGAAAACAUGACUGGUGUUUGGUUAAGGGGGUGGGAGGGUGUGCACUGAAGCAAAUCUCGGAGAUGAUGGGUUGAGAUCAUAUGGGUUUUUACCCCUCCUUCCUUGAAUUGUGUUGUAUCAGAGUCGGGAGCAAAAAAGAAAAUUGUGAAGUUUGUUUGCCCAGUUGUUCAUCUGGCUAUGUAGGCCAUUCUUGAUGCUUCUUAUUUUGGAGGUUAAUGGUGGUUUUUAGUUGUAAUUCCACCCCUCGUCUUUCCCAUCACAAUUUUUGUUCUCAAGUAACUUGUGCCUGUGUGCUUUGUGGUCCUUUUC
Molecule: unclassified non-coding RNA, 836 nt
Filed under: Hevea brasiliensis (rubber tree)
Lineage: Eukaryota; Viridiplantae; Streptophyta; Magnoliopsida; Malpighiales; Euphorbiaceae
Source: RNAcentral